GGGAAGCAGAGGAGUUGGGAGCUGGCGGUCGUUCCCGGGGAAGAACUGCUAAAACAUGAGACCAAGGCACAGACCUUACUGUAUGAGAAGCAAUGCUCCUCAAACCUUCUGCGUGCUGACAUAGACCUUCCCAGAAGCAAAACUGUUGGCGGCGACCUGAGCGCUGGAAGCCGAAGGGGAAGAGGAAGGAGACGCGAAGCCAGGGCGGCCGGCACAAAGGCGGCGGACUCGCGGCGGCAGCGCCUGCCCGGCCGGGAGCACAACCCACGGCCCUACUCCAGCGAAGUCCCGCACCGGCUUCUAGGAAUAAAGUUUACGUUCUCCUGAGGCCGCACCCCCCACCUCCCACCCAGGACGGCACAUCUCCGUGUCCUCCUCCCCCAAACUCCACUCGGGACCCCGAGAACCACCCCAGCCUUCCGGCCACCACAACAAAGAGCCGCACCGACCGGCGAGGAUAAACAGCGGCGGAGGGCGAGAGGGCGGCGGGGCGAGCGCCUCCACGCAGCAACUCCGGAGUCCCCCGCUUGCCCGAGCGCAGUUUCUCCGCUGCUGUUUCCACCGGCUUUGUAACACUGGGAAUUUACAUCCUCACCCGCACCCCUCACGCCCGAGGAUUUUAAACUCACCUUUACUCUCGAACUGAGAGUUGCGGUAGAUGGGAUUUUUGCCUUUUCCCCAGAUGGUUGAAGGUUAAGAUUUUUGGAAACCCCACCACCUCCUUAUUUCUAUUAUUAUUUCUGCAAGAAAAGUAUAAAGAGAGUUGUAGUGGAGGUGAGAUUUGUGAUCGGGAAAGCCUUCGACUCCCUCCUUCUCCGUCUUCCGCCUCUCUCUCUCUGAUUAGUUCCUAUCCAGCAGCAGAUUGAAGCAGGAGAUGAUUCUUCUCAAGGUUUGUUCAGCAGCUUCACUUCUAGGCGAAGGCUUCAUGAACCAAGUGACGUCAACCAACAAGGCUUCUCUCUCUCUCCUCUCUCUAACAAUGAAAGUUGCUGUUAACAAGGGAAAAAAAGAGAGAGAAUUGUUUAUACCAUUUCAGUUCCAAUAAUAAAUGACCUAUCAGCUCCUAAAGGAGCCAAGGGAGGGGGUUGCUUCUUCUUUCCAAGAAUACUGUAGCUUUGAGUUUGCACCGUUCCUUGUCCCAGGAAAAAGUUAAGAAACUUAAAAUGUUUUGUUUUGCUUUUAAAGAAGACAGGACAGAAAACGGGAUUUAAAACUUAGUUUUUAAAAAAACAAAAGCUACAGAGUAGGGAGCAUAGGUCAACCAUCUCCACCUAAAUUUUUUUUGUUCCUAAACUCAGAAUUCUACAACCCAACUAAAUUAAUAUGCCAAGAUUUUGCGGAUGUUAAAACUCAAAAAAAGCAGUAUGCAAGACGGUCCCGGGGUAAAAUUCUACUGCCUUUCCACGGACAAGUUAAACUGGCUGUAAUGUUUAUGCACUAAGUUAAAAUAAAAUUUAAAUAAAAGACGUUAAAAUAGUCGUUUUAAAGUUAUAUGCACACACUGUAAAAGGUAAUCUCGAUAGCUUUUUUUCAAGUUUCUGAGAGAUUAGAAAAAAAGCAUAGCAAAUUGUAGGCACUGAACACUUUUUAAAAAUCAAGUUAUGAGUAAGACUGGUAGCCCUUUGCUCCUUUAAACUACAAAUGCAGUCAUAUGCUAUGGUCUACCCCCAGAAUCUCUUCCAACUUUGUUUUUACCCUUCCACUCCCCCAACCCCAAUUCCCAAAUCCUGCAACCAAUCAAGUUAAACUAAAGAUACAAUAGGCCCCAUUCCCUCCCGCACCCCAUCCUAUAGAUUCCUAAAAACAAUUUUUUUAAAAGCCUUAAUCUUGAUAACACUUUAUUAGCCAAGAAGAUACGUAUUUUUUUUUUUAGAAGUUCGUUGAGGUACCGUUUUUUCCCUCCAGAACACAAGAAAGUCUCAAAGUUCAUAUAAUUAAAAAUUGCAUAAUUUAAUUUUCAGGAUGAAGAGUAAGUAAAAAUUAAGCUAUCGGAGAAUAAUUUGAUCAUCUAUGUAUAUUUUAUACAUAUGUGGAUAAAUGUAUCUUAAAAGAUGCUAUUGUUUUAUGUUUCCUCUUCAGCCACUGGCUGUGAUUUUAAUUGUGCUGGAGGAUCUUCAUUAGUAUUAACACAUGGGGAGAUUUCACAAAGCUGCUUCAUUAGGAAAAAAAAAAAGCUUGGCAGACUCGGUCUUUUUGCAUGCACUGAGAAUGUCAGCCUUACCUCGGUCAUUUGUAACAUAAUAAGUGCAAGUACAAUGAUUGCAAUGCAGGAGCACUGGGGGAAGGGCAGAAAUACUGCCUGUCUAAUAGGGAUAUCUGAAAAGAAGGCUGCUCAUUACAGAGUAAAAUGUAUGCUAAAAAUUAGUGAAGAUGAUGUCUCAGGAGACUGAUGCUAAAUAAAUUAAUGUGCUGAUAUGUUUUUAAUUAUUAUUUUUGUAGUAGUUUAUUUCAUUCUCAGGAUUCACAUUGAGCAGCAAAGCUGUGCUAGCACUUAUUGAUUUUUUUUCCCUGCCACAUUCCCGGAAUACAGAUUUUAAUCAUUUCACUACACCACACUCAGUAAUUUCAUUAAAAACUGGAAUCUUCCAUCCCCAGAAAAGC
This 2601-nucleotide long non-coding RNA is filed under the name Homo sapiens (human). RNAcentral describes it as "non-protein coding lnc-MARCH7-1:4". Lineage: Eukaryota; Metazoa; Chordata; Mammalia; Primates; Hominidae. The record is from RNAcentral.